UUAAAAACGAUAUGUUUCGCAUGUCGACAUUUUUCACCGUUUUCUGACCUUUUAGAGACUCAACAGAAGAUAACUGACAGUAAAAAUAGAAGCUAGCUGCAGCUCUAACAGCAAAAUGUUUCUUUAAUCUUCAAAUUAAGAAUUUUAUUCUCAGUAACAAGUGAAAAUUAAUGGUCCCGGUUUGCCUUGAUAACGAGUGUAGAGUUUAAUAUUUACUGUUUAAAACCCUCCAACUGAUGCUUCAGUCCAGAAAAUUAUCAACAGAUGUGAGAAAAAUCAUCAACCGCAGCUCUGGUUGGUUUAGAGAUAAAGAAAUGAAACUUCAGAGCUUCUGUCAGACUGUUACUGAAGUUAAAUGUCUCCUGGAGUUUCCAACAAACACGUUAAAGACUUAAAGCUGCUCUGAUCAGUUUAGACCAAACUAAUCGAUUGUUCUAUGAAAUAAUCAGCAAUCUACAGUGAAAAUAAUCGUUAGCAGCAGCUCCACCACCUCCGAAGAAACAAGAAAAUUAACUUUAAACUUUUCAUUUUUUAAAUUAAUGAACAUUAAAAUCUUAGCAUCAGAUGUUCUGUCGGACUUUUCCUCAAUUUAAAACGUCUCCUGGAGUUUCUAACAAACACAUUAAAGACUUAAAGCUGCUCUGAUGAGUUUAAAUCUGGACGCUGUUUACGUUGAGUCCACACGGUUCUCACUACAUUCGUCUCCGUAGACCAGCGACGAUUCAUUGUUCUCGUUCCUCUGUCUGACGGCCGUCGUCCCGUUUAAGGCGGACCAGCGAGCGGUCGUCCUAUCUACUGUACUGUUGUUGACUUGUUCAAGGAUUUGUGUUUUUUUGCAGACUCGUUGUGUAUUUUAUUUGUACCGUUCUGAUAAACGCUGGUUUGGGGCUGGUUUCGUGUUUCCGUCGCUCCGAUCCUCCGGUCGAGUCUUGGGUUUCCGGACCUUUCUGGGUUGAACUGUUGUGAAGGGGCUCUGUGUAAAUGUCUAUAAAUAUAUUUUUUUGUAUGUAAGCCUUUCCUAAUGACCUGGAGAAGAUAGAAGUUAUUUUUAUAUAUUGCAGCGGAGUUUUUGUAAGUAUUUUAUACUUUUGAUAUGGUUCUCUGUAAAACAAGAGUAUUAUGUAAAUAUAGUUCUUUAGAAACAACUUGGUUUCUGUGUGUUUGUGUCUCUGUGUGGGUUUUUUCAUAAAUAAACUGAAUAUCAGGUGGAUGCUGUAUAUAUUAAUGUAAAAAGUACCAUAAAACUGGAUGUUAUUGUCAAAAACGUACCAUAAAACUGGAUAUUAAUGUCAAAAAGUACAACAAAACUGAAUAUUAAUUGUAAAAAAGUACCACAAAACUGGAUAUUAGUGUAAAAAAG
Long non-coding RNA from Amphiprion ocellaris (clown anemonefish), 1360 nucleotides. NCBI's taxonomy places the organism in Eukaryota, Metazoa, Chordata, Actinopteri, Pomacentridae. The record is from Ensembl.